GGUCUUAUGGUCUAGUGGUAUGAUUCUCGCUUAGGGUUUUGAACGAUACUCCAUCGUUUCCUGAGCACAAAAUGCGAGAGGCCCCGCGUUCGAAUCGCGGUAAGACCC
Polyplosphaeria fusca is the source of this 108-nucleotide non-coding RNA. The record is from the annotation of a GenBank genome assembly. NCBI's taxonomy places the organism in Eukaryota, Fungi, Ascomycota, Dothideomycetes, Pleosporales, Tetraplosphaeriaceae.